Molecule: ribosomal RNA, 467 nt
Filed under: uncultured bacterium
Lineage: Bacteria
Description: bacterial SSU rRNA
Rfam family: Bacterial small subunit ribosomal RNA
Source: RNAcentral
ACCAGACUCCUACGGGAGGCAGCAGUGAGGAAUAUUGGUCAAUGGGCGAGAGCCUGAACCAGCCAAGUCGCGUGAAGGAUGACGGCCCUACGGGUUGUAAACUUCUUUUGUCAGGGAGCAAUUGAGUCCACGUGUGGGCUUAGCGAGAGUACCUGAAGAAAAAGCAUCGGCUAACUCCGUGCCAGCAGCCGCGGUAAUACGGAGGAUGCGAGCGUUAUCCGGAUUUAUUGGGUUUAAAGGGUGCGUAGGCGGGCUUUUAAGUCGGCGGUAAAAAUUCGGGGCUCAACCCCGUCCGGCCGUUGAAACUGGGGGCCUUGAGUGGGCGAGAAGAAGGCGGAAUGCGUGGUGUAGCGGUGAAAUGCAUAGAUAUCACGCAGAACUCCGAUUGCGAAGGCAGCGCACCGGCGCCCUACUGACGCUCAGGCACGAAAGCGUGGGUAUCGAACAGGAUUAGAUACCCCUGUACC